AUUACAAAGGACUACACAAUAACAGUUGGAUCUUAGCUUUAAAAUAAAACUACAUGGUUAUCAUGAUAAUAAAAUAUAAGUCAGAUAGAACUACCUUUUCUCUAAUUUUGACCUUUACAGUUAUUGUAACCUACUUCUCAAUAUGUAUCAUCUUCAGGUUGAAAAUGAUAUCAUUACUUAUACAUGUUAUAGUCAUGGAGGUAUGAUUUGAUUGGUUGGUGUUUAACGCCACUUUCAGCACUAUUAAUACUAGUACUUAUAGUCAUGGAGAUAUGAUUUGAUUGAUCGGUGUUUAACGCCACUUUCAGCACUAUUGAUCCCAGAACUUAUAGUCAUGGAGAUAUGAUUUGAUUUGAUUGGUUGGUGUUUAACGCCACUUUCAGCACUAUUGAUCCCAGAACUUAUAGUCAUGGAGAUAUGAUUUGAUUUGAUUGAUUGGUGUUUAACAUCACUUUCAGCACUGUUGAUACCAGUUCUUAUAGUCAUGGAGAUAUGAUUUGAAUGAUUGAUAGUUGUUUGACGCCACUUUCAGCACUAUUGAUACUUGUACUUAUAGUCAUGAAGAUAUGAUUUGAUUGAUCGGUGUUUAACGCCACUUUCAGCACUAUUGAUACCAGUUCUUAUGGUCAUGGAGAUAUGAUUUGAAUAAUUGAUAGUUGUUUGACGCCACUUUCAGCACUAUUGAUACUAGUACUUAUAGUCAUGGAGAUUUGAUUUGAUUGAUUGGUGUUUAACGCCACUUUCAGCACUAUUGAUACUAGUAUUUAAAGUCAUGGAGAUACAUGUACGAAUUCAGAUGUAAAACUUAAAAAAGGCAGUACUAGUGUGAACUUUCUACAUUUUAUGUUCAAGAUAUUAAGUAUU
This 864-nucleotide long non-coding RNA is filed under the name Mytilus galloprovincialis (Mediterranean mussel). The record is from RNAcentral. Lineage: Eukaryota; Metazoa; Mollusca; Bivalvia; Mytilida; Mytilidae.